UACAGAGGGGGCAAGCGUUGUUCGGAAUUACUGGGCGUAAAGGGCGCGUAGGCGGCCUGCUAAGUCGAACGUGAAAUCCCUGGGCUCAACCCAGGAACUGCGUCCGAUACUGGAUGGCUUGAAUUCGGGAGAGGGAUGCAGAAUUCCAGGUGUAGCGGUGAAAUGCGUAGAUAUCUGGAGGAAUACCGGUGGCGAAGGCGGCAUCCUGGACCGACAUUGACGCCGAACGGCGAAAGCUAGGGGAGCAAACGGG
RNAcentral lists this ribosomal RNA (253 nucleotides) under uncultured bacterium. Its description in RNAcentral is "partial 16S ribosomal RNA". It matches the Rfam family "Bacterial small subunit ribosomal RNA", at positions 524 to 776 of the family's 1533-position model. The record is from RNAcentral.